GGUGAGUAAUACUUAGGAAUCUGCCUAUUAAUGGGGGACAACAUCUCGAAAGGGAUGCUAAUACCGCAUACGCCCUACGGGGGAAAGCAGGGGAUCACUUGUGACCUUGCGUUAAUAGAUGAGCCUAAGUCGGAUUAGCUAGUUGGUGGGGUAAAGGCCUACCAAGGCGACGAUCUGUAGCGGGUCUGAGAGGAUGAUCCGCCACACUGGGACUGAGACACGGCCCAGACUCCUACGGGAGGCAGCAGUGGGGAAUAUUGGACAAUGGGGGGAACCCUGAUCCAGCCAUGCCGCGUGUGUGAAGAAGGCCUUAUGGUUGUAAAGCACUUUAAGCGAGGAGGAGGCUCCUGUAGUUAAUACCUACAGUGAGUGGACGUUACUCGCAGAAUAAGCACCGGCUAACUCUGUGCCAGCAGCCGCGGUAAUACAGAGGGUGCGAGCGUUAAUCGGAUUUACUGGGCGUAAAGCGUGCGUAGGCGGCUUUUUAAGUCGGAUGUGAAAUCCCCGAGCUUAACUUGGGAAUUGCAUUCGAUACUGGGAAGCUAGAGUAUGGGAGAGGAUGGUAGAAUUCCAGGUGUAGCGGUGAAAUGCGUAGAGAUCUGGAGGAAUACCGAUGGCGAAGGCAGCCAUCUGGCCUAAUACUGACGCUGAGGUACGAAAGCAUGGGGAGCAAACAGGAUUAGAUACCCUGGUAGUCCAUGCCGUAAACGAUGUCUACUAGCCGUUGGGGCCUUUGAGGCUUUAGUGGCGCAGCUAACGCGAUAAGUAGACCGCCUGGGGAGUACGGUCGCAAGACUAAAACUCAAAUGAAUUGACGGGGGCCCGCACAAGCGGUGG
This 837-nucleotide ribosomal RNA is filed under the name uncultured bacterium. RNAcentral's name for it is "bacterial SSU rRNA". It matches the Rfam family "Bacterial small subunit ribosomal RNA", at positions 105 to 935 of the family's 1533-position model. The record is from RNAcentral.